GCAAUCAAGAAUCUUUAAUUUGUUACUCUGUUUUCUCAGAUAUUCUUUUUAAACUAUUCCUUUGAACUCAUAAGGAGCUAUUACUUCUCUCAGCCAUUAGCCUUUUCACACUUUUGCUCUUUCUGACCACUGUGUGCCAGAGAUUGCAAAUUCUUUGAGGUCAGGCUUUGUAUUGUUUACCUUUGCAUGUGACUAGCACAUACACUUGCACAUUACAAGAACCCCAACAAUAUAUUAUAAGUAGAACCAAUUGGAAAAUUCAAAUGAUAAGCAGAUAAUUGCAAAAAUGUGUUUGCAAAAUUAUAGUUGGAAAUUGGAACACUUGAAAAUUUUUUUUUAAUUUUUUUUUUUAUUUUAAUAGUGAGCCACAUAUUGGAGAUGAUUUAAGGCUUGCAGACCGACCAUGACUGCCAAUUGACCCACACUGUAGCUGAAAUAAUACUACCAGAAAAAAAUUCUACCACUGAGUCCCAAUGACACUUCAAUCCCCCUAUUUGAUGUUAGACUCGCUUGCCUCUAAGGCAUGAUCUUUUUGAUGUGUGGGGAUAUAGAGUGUUGCUUGGGUUGUCAAUUAAUUAAAAAGCCAUUUCCUCAGCCAUACUAAACAUAUUUCCAGUACUUAAUAGUCCCAUGAAGAUGACACCUACAAAAUUGGAUAGCAGAUAUUUUCAUCUCAGAAUGUCUUAUUGGACAGCACUAGUCCAAACAAUUGAUGGAGAAGAUCAUUUGGGUGUAGAGAGGCAGGUUGUAAUUUAUAACUCAUUAUCAGGGAGGGUGAGUAUAGGGCUGUCACGAUAUCAGAAAUGCCUUGGCAAUUCUCAGCUGUUUGAUGCAUUAACACACUUCUUCCACCUGGAAAUGGAAUUCCA
This 869-nucleotide long non-coding RNA is filed under the name Homo sapiens (human). RNAcentral's name for it is "non-protein coding lnc-USP16-13:3". The record is from RNAcentral. Lineage: Eukaryota; Metazoa; Chordata; Mammalia; Primates; Hominidae.